UCUGGAUCUGAGCUUUUCAAAUUGUCUUGGGUUAGAAUGAGAGCAGAAUCUUCAUCACCUUGUGAAGGACUCCUGGAUGGAAAGGAUUUCAUAUUUCCACUGUAAUCCUGGGGAGUGUUGGCUGUGCUGUUGUCUGAGAUGAUGGACAUUUGGAUUGCUCAAAAUACAUUUUACCAGAUUUCAUCUUUUGCCAUCAACCAGGGAAGUGUUAAAAGAUCAAGUAUUACAUACUCCUUUCAAAAGCAUUCUCCUUAUGUGCAAAGAGCAUUGUACUGGGCAAUAUGAGUAAUGGAUAUAAUACAGAUCCAGCCAUAAGGAACUGGAAGUAUGGAGGCAGAGUUCAGGUUAUCUACUUAGCUAAAAAUAUGAUGUGGCUAUGCUGCUGUGUUUCACAUAUCCUGAGUCAUGAGAGACGUUCAAGGAACAGUGGUUAUCAAGAAAUAAGCACAGAAAAGAGACGAACAAGAACGAGUGUGUCUUACUUCUUCUAGGGUCUCUAGUUCUUCCUCCAGCUGCUGGGUCUCCUCCUUCACUGCCAUAAGGGAAAUAAUUCCACUAGGCAGAGUUUCAGCAGAGAAAGGAGGUAAGCUAAGUCAUGAUCACGACCUAAUUCCACAUUUAACUUAGAAGACACUUGGUUUAUUUGGUCCCUCCUUUCCUCUGUCCUUUCUUGCUUCCUUUUCUUCUUCCCUCCCUGUUUUUUGCUUUUAAAUAAUAUUGGAACUUACAUUUUUAAGGUACAAUUUUUAUAAAAUUUUGAUUUCGAAAUAGAAUUUGAUAUGUAGGGGAAAGGAGGGGGAGAGGGGACACAGGAGAAUACCAGAUACUUAAGCAUUCUCUAGUGUGUUUUAUGUCCCAGAAAACCCCUUGAAGCCCAGUGUUCUAUAUACUUUGGACUCCAGAUAUUACACAGUGGCAGGAUCUACGUUCAUAAGCGUCCUCAGUAAGGUCCUGUAGGUUUGCAUACUUGUACAUGAAGUUGC
Long non-coding RNA from Lutra lutra (Eurasian river otter), 983 nucleotides. RefSeq lists it as uncharacterized. The record is from RefSeq and is a predicted model, not a curated record. The transcript has 4 exons. NCBI's taxonomy places the organism in Eukaryota, Metazoa, Chordata, Mammalia, Carnivora, Mustelidae.